Molecule: ribosomal RNA, 919 nt
Filed under: Porphyromonadaceae bacterium UBA6876
Lineage: Bacteria; Pseudomonadati; Bacteroidota; Bacteroidia; Bacteroidales; Porphyromonadaceae
Description: bacterial SSU rRNA
Rfam family: Bacterial small subunit ribosomal RNA
Source: RNAcentral
AGAGUUUGAUCCUGGCUCAGGAUGAACGCUAGCGACAGGCUUAACACAUGCAAGUCGAGGGGCAGCGAGGAGUAAGCUUGCUUACUCUGUCGGCGACCGGCGCACGGGUGAGUAACACGUAUGCAACCUGCCCUUGUCAGGGGGAUAAUCCGGAGAAAUCCGGUCUAAUAUCGCAUAAAGCGUUAGUGAGGCAUCUCACAGACGCCAAAGGAGAGAUCCGGACAAGGAUGGGCAUGCGGCGCAUUAGCUAGUUGGGGGGGUAACGGCCCACCAAGGCGACGAUGCGUAGGGGUUCUGAGAGGAAGGUCCCCCACAUUGGUACUGAGACACGGACCAAACUCCUACGGGAGGCAGCAGUGAGGAAUAUUGGUCAAUGGGCGGAAGCCUGAACCAGCCAAGUCGCGUGAGGGAAGACGGCCCUAAGGGUUGUAAACCUCUUUUGCCGGGGAGCAAAGGCACCGUGCGCGGUGCUAUGAGAGUACCCGGAGAAAAAGCAUCGGCUAACUCCGUGCCAGCAGCCGCGGUAAUACGGAGGAUGCGAGCGUUAUCCGGAUUUAUUGGGUUUAAAGGGUGCGUAGGCGGACAUUUAAGUCAGCGGUCAAAACGGGUGGCUCAACCACCUGUCGCCGUUGAAACUGGGUGUCUAGAGUGGGCGAGAAGUACGCGGAAUGCGCGGUGUAGCGGUGAAAUGCAUAGAUAUUGCGCAGAACUCCGAUUGCGAAGGCAGCGUACCGGCGCCCGACUGACGCUGAAGCACGAAAGCGUGGGGAUCGAACAGGAUUAGAUACCCUGGUAGUCCACGCAGUAAACGAUGGACACUAGCUGUUCGGGUCGAAUGAGAUCUGAGUGGCACAGCGAAAGCGUUAAGUGUCCCACCUGGGGAGUACGCCGGCAACGGUGAAACUCAAAGGAAUUGACG